RNAcentral lists this ribosomal RNA (547 nucleotides) under uncultured Funneliformis. RNAcentral describes it as "SSU rRNA". It matches the Rfam family "Eukaryotic small subunit ribosomal RNA", at positions 548 to 1098 of the family's 1831-position model. The record is from RNAcentral. Lineage: Eukaryota; Fungi; Glomeromycota; Glomeromycetes; Glomerales; Glomeraceae.
UUGGAGGGCAAGUCUGGUGCCAGCAGCCGCGGUAAUUCCAGCUCCAAUAGCGUAUAUUAAAGUUGUUGCAGUUAAAAAGCUCGUAGUUGAAUUUCGGGAUCAAGGGAUCGGUCAUGCCUUGGUAUGUACUGGUCUUAUUGGUUCUCACCUUCUAAAGAACCAUGAUGUCAUUCAUUUGAUGUUAUGGGGAAUUAGGACUGUUACCUUGAAAAAAUUAGAGUGUUUAAAGCAAGCUUACGCUUGAAUACAUUAGCAUGGAAUAAUGAAAUAGGACAUCAGAUUCUAUUUUGUUGGUUUCUAGGAUCGAUGUAAUGAUUAAUAGGGAUAGUUGGGGGCAUUAGUAUUCAAUUGUCAGAGGUGAAAUUCUUGGAUUUAUUGAAGACUAACUACUGCGAAAGCAUUUGCCAAGGAUGUUUUCAUUAAUCAAGAACGAAAGUUAGGGGAUCGAAGACGAUCAGAUACCGUCGUAGUCUUAACCAUAAACUAUGCCGACUAGGGAUCGGAUGAUGUUAAUUUUUUAAUGACUCAUUCGGCGCCUUACGGAAAC